GAGCGCAACAGGGGCGUACAAACGUUUUCUUCCACAUACGCCAAAAAUCAUGUACAAUACAUGCACUUUUACCCCGCCCGCACGCUUGAAGCACAUUUGAACUUAUUGAAACACACCUAGACUUGUGAAAAGAUACUUUAUAAAAUAUACCUUAGUCUAGCGCACAGGUGUCAAACUGGUGGCCCGGGUGACAGAUCUGGCCCGCCACAUCAUUUUAUGUGGCCCGUGAAAGUAAAUCAAAAUUGCUCGUUUUGCUGCUUCCUCCACUUGCGACCCGUGGAUUCGUUGACGUCGAAUUCUCUCGCGGCUGCUCGAUUCCCAUGUUCCUCCGCGUAACUGAUAGCUUGCAGUUUUGACACCCCUGGUCUCAUUUUGGUGUCCUGGGUCCCGGAUCCAUCUCGACCGAUCAGUCGCUGCAGUCUCGCCGACAUCUCCGCCAGUGAGGAGGGGCCUUAAGAGGCAAAGCGUGCGCAUAAAACAAAAGGUUCAACCAAACCAUAUCAUUUCAUUUCACAAUCACCUGCUAGCUUAAUGCUAACAUCUAAUGGGAAACACCAUAGACCAGCUAAUGGAAAUUUGCAUAGAUUUUAUGGUAAUUCAUAAAACAAAAGGUUCAACCAAACCAUAUCAUUUCAUUUCACGAUCACCUGCUAGCUUAAUGCUAACAUCUAAUGGGAAACACCAUAGACCAGCUAAUGGAAAUUUGCAUAGAUUUUAUGGUAAUUCAUAAAACAAAAGGUUCAACCAAACCAUAUCAUUUCAUUUCACGAUCACCUGCUAGCUUAAUGCUAACAUCUAAUGGGAAACACCAUAGACCAGCUAAUGGAAAUUUGCAUAGAUUUUAUGGUAAUUC
Long non-coding RNA from Phyllopteryx taeniolatus (common seadragon), 853 nucleotides. RefSeq lists it as uncharacterized. The record is from RefSeq and is a predicted model, not a curated record. The transcript has 2 exons. Lineage: Eukaryota; Metazoa; Chordata; Actinopteri; Syngnathiformes; Syngnathidae.